RNAcentral lists this long non-coding RNA (11272 nucleotides) under Eucalyptus grandis. RNAcentral describes it as "long non-coding RNA (EGRA_LNC002061)". Lineage: Eukaryota; Viridiplantae; Streptophyta; Magnoliopsida; Myrtales; Myrtaceae. The record is from RNAcentral.
UCUUCAAUAAUAAAAAAACCCUAAACACCUCUGUGUGCUCUGGCGAUCGAAGCAUCUCCUCGUCCCAUUCCUGCUUCAAAGGGCAUUCUCGCCCAAUCGCAGUAGCAGUCAAUUUCUCUCACAAAAUGCCUCUCGUUCCCUCGAUCGGUUCCCUCUUCCAGUUUCGGAACAUUCUCACAUUGUCGAUGCCACCCAAUCUAUCCAUUGCUCCUUCAAGCAACCCUAACCACCACAGAGGCUCCGAUGGAGGAUGAGGAGGUGGGACCUAUGGGAACUAUGGGGAUUUCCGCUCUCAAAGUUACUAGCGAUGGGAGAGCUCGAUUUGGGAUUACUCGGAGUGGGUGCUCUUUCCCUGGAGAUGUAGGGACAAAUAAUCCUCCUGCAAAGGCGGGUGCUCGGUCGAUGGGAAAGAAUUUGGUGUUCCUCGUGUUGAAAUAACCUUCUCAAUUUAGUGCAUCAGCGAAUGGGGCCUCUAUCGGUAAAGAGAUGGUACAGUUUGCCUCCCCCUUGUCUCCGGAAUCCUAAUUAUCGUAAAUGGCCUCCUCACUGUCCCUACCAGGUCAGGAAUGCUUCCCUACAGAACCUGGACAUUUAAGUUCACAAGAUAUUUUGCAUCAGCAGGAGAUUCCCAUUUAUCCCCUACAUUCUCGACGAGGACACCGUCCGAAGCAAUGAUCGAAUGGGAACCUCCUGCUGAUGUAGGGAACCUCCUGAUACAAAAUAUCUCGCAAACUUAAAUCUCCAAGCUCUGCUGAGAAGCAUUCCUGACCGAUAGAGAUAGUGAAGAGAUCAUUUACGAUAACUAGGGAUUCCGAAGACAAGCAGGAGGCAAACUGCACCAUACAGAGGCCCCAUUCGCCACCGUCACCGUGACGAUGCACUGAAUCAACUAUCUCUCAACACGAAAAACACCAAUUUCUUUCUCAUCGAGGUAGUCACUUGCACCCGUCCUCACACAAGGACUAUCUACCCCUGCAUCUCUAGGGAAAGAACACGCACCUCCGACUAAUCCAAAUCGAGCUCUCUGAGUUCGCAUCCUCCUCCUCCACCCGAGCCUCCGUGCUGGUUAUGGGUGAAAUCGACUGAGCAAGAAUGUUCUAGAACCGAAAAAGGGAAUUGAUCAAGGGGACGGAAGGCAUUUUGUGAGAGAAAUCAAUGAGUCAGAUUCUACAUAAUAAAACCUAUGGGACAGUGAUGGAAGGAUUGCACGAGAAUGUGAUUUGAUUGCCGGAACAGGAGAAGGCAUCCAUGGAUUUUGAUUUUGGGAGGGAUGAUCCCGAAGACCAGCAUCAUGAAUGCCCUAUCAUGCAGGGUCCUAAGAAUCCCGAGUAUCCCGAUAUGCAUAUUUCAAAGAAGAUUAUAAGGCGCGACUCUAAAUAAUGGAAAGACCAACUCACUUCAAUUAAAAAAAUUCUUCCUUCAGCAUUUUCAUCGCAUGAAUCUUCCGAGGCCGGAUACCAGACCCGCCAACAAUUGCGGUGAACGCCCUUGCCCAGCACAAUGCUCAGGAAAACAGAGCAAAGCUCCAGCUAUCGUACCUAAAAGAUGGGAAACCACCGGACAGAGGAAAGCUUAAAUUCAAAAUUGACGAUUCAUCAGUAUAAGGUAGAGGUGAUGACCCAUUUAUAGUUUAAUGGGUCAAGCCUCAUUUCCCAAAACACCCAUGAUAGGUUUUGAAAAUAAAGAGGCUGACAUAUAUGAGUCUUAAAUGGGUCUGAGAGCAAACCCAUUUAAGACCCAUUUAUCAACCCACUAAAAAUAAACCCAUUUACAGAGAGACUUUCUCUUCUCUAUUUAACUUUACAAAAAUAUAUAUAUAUUUUUUAUAAAAACUGAAAUUAUAAUUAUUUUUUAUUUUAAUUUUCUUUUCUUUUUUCUUUUUCUUUCCUUUUUUUUCUUUCUUCUUCCUCCGGUCGCUAGCACGCCGAUGACCAGCGACCGUCCAAGCGAGCCUCGAGCUCGCCAGCGUCGGGCAAGCUUGAGCCUCGCUAGAUCCGGCCGAGGGCGAGCUCAAGCUCACUCGACGCCAACGAGCCUCGAGCUCGCCGGAUUUGGUGAGGCGGAGGCCUUGCCCUCAAGCCCGGUUUCACAUAUCUCCUUUAUUUUUAUUUAGUUUUUUUAAUAUAAAUUUUAGUAAAACCCUAUUACUAGUAAUGCAAAUGAUCCUAAUUAAAAAUUAGGAAUUAAAAAUUAAUCCACAAUUUAAUGAAACUUUUUUUAGGAAUUAAAAAUUAAUCCACAAUUUUUAAUGCAAUUAAUGAAUGAUUAAAUAGGUUGGCAAAAUUUAAGUGUCAACAAUGGGAAACCUAGCGGCAUGCAUAUUUUUGAAGAAGAUAUUGGGUGGUGCUAAAUGACAAAAGUUCUUUAGCCUUCGCAUGAACUAAAAUUACUCCUUAUCGCAACCUACUCGAGCUCCAGAAUGUUUCAGUUUAUGCUCCUACCUAUUAUCUGGAUAUACCAAGAAGGAUGUACGGUCUAAUGAGGCUACUAUGAAAUAUUUACUCAUGGGUGGGGCAAGCUCUUCUAUUCUGGUUCAUGGUUUCUCUUGGCUAUAUGGUUCAUCCGGGGGAGAGAUCGAGCUUCAAGAAAUAGUGAAUGGCCUUAUCAAUACACAAAUGUAUAACUCCCCAUGAAUUUUAAUUGCGCUUCUAUUCAUCACUGUAGGAAUUGGGUUCAAGCUUUCCCUCGCCCCUUCUCAUCAAUGGACUCCUGACGUAUACGAAGGAGUGCGGUUCGUUGAGGGAACAGGUUUAAGAAUAUUGCUUAAAGGACAAACCUAAGGCUCAUGAUUAGGCGCGGGCUCUCUCAAGCCCAUACCUUGCAUGACGUUGGAGUGUUCUUUAAGAAUUUUACAAAAUGAGUUGCCACUAACCUAUUGAGAUCGGCUAAAAACCAAGUGAGCCAUGGGAGUAUAGCUCACUUCCUACGCAACCAAAGAAUCUAGGGUCGAUAACUUGAUUAUACUAAUUGGGCAAUUAGUGCCAUUUCAAUACCUAAUCUUAUUCAUUUUAAAAGAAAAGAUUUUUAUUAGAUAGUUUGGAUUAAUUUUACACCUAUCCACUAACAUGUGAGAUGAUCAUACAGGUGCGCAGUCAUUAAAAUAAUAAUUAGCAACCAAGAAAAACAUUAAAUAAAUUGCACAGGAAAGUAAAGAAUUAAUACUAUAGAGAAGACAAAUGCUAAUCCUAACUAAACUAAAGAGAAGCCAAACUCCACGUGUCAACAUAUGCACUCAAAGACAAUUGUCUCUAAGGACGGUUGAAACUCAAAGGUAAAAUCUUAAAGGCUUAGUUAAUUUUUUUUUAGCACAACUCUAGAGUUAAGAAACUUCCAUUUUUUUUUUAAAAAAAAGAUCAUAAAAUCUUUUGUAGAACUUUUCGAAAGAAAAUUUGAAUUUCCUGACAUUUUUCAAUUUUUUUUUCAAUUUUUUAAUUAAAAAAACUCGAAUUUUCAAUAUUUUUUGAUUUUUUUAAUGUUCUUUUUAAUAUAUUUUUAAUAGUUAAUAUUAUUAUAUUCAGAAAAAAUAGGUCCAGACCGGUAAACCCAAUCCAGUCCGUUGGCUUGACACAAAACCCGGAUUAAAACUUAAAAAAAUAAACAAACAAAACCGAUUUCUUAAAACCUCUUUUUUUUUUGUUUUUUAUAUUAAUAUUAAUAUUUUAAUCAUUUUUUUUUUUGUCUUUUCACUAUUUCGUCUUUUUACUACAUCUCUUCUCGUCGGCUUCUCUUUCCCGAAGCCAGCUUUUUGUUUCAUUUUUUCUGCAAUUUUUCUUUUUCUAUUUUGUUUUUGUUUUGCUUUUCCUUUUUUAUUCUUUAUCCCUUUUUUUUGUCUUUUUUUUUUAACUUCAUCCCUUCCCUGCACCUUCCCCUUCCACGACUUCUCCUUCUCGAAGUCAUUUUUGCCUUCUUUUCUCUAUUUUUUUUUUUCUGAUUUUUCUUUUUCCUUGUUCUUUUUUAUUUCCCCUCUGGCGUUCUUCUUCUCCCCCGACGCUUCUUCCUCAAUUUGCGCCAUCCUCACCAAACUAAAAACAACACCGCGGCGAACCCUCACCGGUGUUUGGAAGGUCGCCAAGCUACCAUUUGGCGACAGUCAUUCGUUCCAGCCAGUCAUUCGUUCCAACCGACGAUGACCACUGUUGGACACCCAUUCCAGUAACCACAAACCCAUUUUUCGGCGCGAAGAAAAACGUCAUCGACUCAAACACGCAUGAAUAUUUCUCACGAACACUACGAAAACACCACAAAUACGAGCAAAGCAAGCAGGAAUCAGCAGGCAUGGGAGAAAAACAAGUUGAUCUUGCGUUAAAACAUACAGUGCUCUUCGGUUUUUUAUUAAGGCAUUUUAUCGAACACAUAAGACGCACUAACUAGAGAAGUAAGCAUAGACUCGACUGGGGCUCGGGUUCAGGCCAAGAUCAUCACACGAUAUACAAGCACUAUUCUGAAUCAGCUCAGGGACAAGUUUAUCAGCAUUCAAUUUGAGUUUAAACAAAAAUAACAAGCCUCGGCCAUAACACCAAAUACAAACAAAUAUUUGCAUAAAGCACUACAAUAAGCACGCAUACGCUGUGUGAGGAAAGAACAAAAAAGAAAAAAGAAAAGGGCAGACAUACCAGGGAAUGACCUGAUUCGAAGGGGAGCGGUGGACGACAGCUCUGGGGCGGACGACUGGCGACGGCGAAGCUGUCCUUCAGUCUCACUCUCUCCCUUAGGCUCGCCCUCUACUCUCUCGAGCUCUCUCCAACCCUCUCGGUCUCUUUCCCUGUUCUCUGUGUUCUGCCCCCCGUCUCCCUGUGUUGCUGUAUUUGUGGAGUUCUUCUGCUGAGCUCGUUCGGGGAAGAGUUGCGGUGGACAACGGCGGGCGGAGGGGAACUCCGGCGGUAGCACAGGCAGAGACGGAGCGGCGAGAAAGCAGCGGUGGGGGUCGGCGCUGGGUCACGGACAGGGCUGGAGCAGAGGCGGCGCCGCGGGCGGAGGCGUCGGGUUGCAAGGUCGACGGCAGCAACGGUGUCGAGCAGAGGCAGCAAACAGCAGCAGCUCGUCGGGGCCGGUGAACAACGCCUGGCAGUCGUCGUGGGUCAGCAGGCGCGCACGGAGCGGCGGUGGCCAGGAGCAGCAACGACAGACGUUGCAGAUCUCGCGGCGGAAGAUGGGGCGGCGUUCUGGCGCGAGGCUGGCAGAGGCGAGUCGCGGUAGGAGCGGCGUCUGGAGUCGCAAUCGGGGCUGGUCGCAGGAGCUGCGGUGGUCGGCGCAGGGGGACGGUCAGUCGCGGAGAUGCGGCGGGGGCUCGGUGAGAGGGCUCGCAGGUUGCUGCAGGUUGCUGCGGCGGCGUUGGGUUGCAGGCGGAGCGGCGGUGGCCGGCAGAAGGAGACACCGGCGUUCGGAGGCGAGGGAGUUCAGCCAAGAAGAAGAACCGUGGCCCUCCUGUUUUUCCCCCGGUUUCACCCCCUCUCUCGAGCUCCCCCUCUCGGUUCUCUCUGUGUUUUUCUCUGUCUUUGGUGUGUUCUGUCCACCCCCCCUCCGUCCUCCCUUUCUCUCACUUUUUGUUCUGCUCCCGACCCGCGGAUCACGCUGGCCGCCUGCCACCCGAUCUCCCUGCUCCUCUGUUGCUGCUCUGCAGGUCUGCGCGAAGACCAGCUGGAGGGAGACGACCAGCUCGUUCGCGGGCUGGGCUGAAGGGAAAAAAAGGCUGGGCCGGGUCGGGUCGGGUCGGGCCGAGGCCAAGGCCGGAUCCGCCCGACCCGACCGAUUUUGUAUUUUUUAAAAAAUUAAUUAAUUAAUUUUUCUCUCUCUCUUUUUUUUUUUUUGGUGACUAAUUCCUAACCUUUAAUGCUAUUUUUAAUUAAUUAAUUUAGACAAAAUUUAGAUGUCAACACUCCUCAUGUAGAGUACAAUUGGAUAAGGCCCAUUGAGUUUAACCUUGAUCGUAUGCAUGUGCACGUUUUUCCUCCCCAAAAUGCUCAAGCUACCAGCUAGCUGCUCUAAAAGUUAAUGAUUUCUAAGUAAUGCCAAGGGAAUUGAAAGCCAAGGAAAUUAUGGGAUGAUACCUGACUUUAUAGAUAGAUCGUGAUAUAGGAUUGUCGCGUCAACGUUAAUGAAUGCUCUUAUUUACUCGAUAGUUAAAUGAAUUUUCAAAUAAAUAGAACUUUUUUUUACGGAAUAUUUGUCUAAAAUCCCGUCUAAUAUUAUCAAUAAAUGGAAUUAAAUAAAAUGUUUUAGAACACUACUCUACAAAUUAAAAAAAAAAAAAAAACAGAGAUUGAAAAUUUGGAAAAUAUGUCAAGAUAAGCUUUGCUUUGGUCAAUGAAGAAAACAAAAAGGAAAAAUUACACAAAUGAUCUCUCAAUUAUGGCCAAAUGUGUAAUUUUAUUCAUAAACUUUUAAUUUAUUUCAUUUUAACCCAAUGUGUAAUAUGAUCUCCGAACUAUUAAUUUAUUUAAUAUGGUCCAUGAAAUUUUGGUAUAUAUUUAAUUUAAUUCAUAAACGAUAGGAAAACAAAUAUCAUCCUUCUAUCAAUUCAAGUUUUGGAACAAUAUUAAAUAUUUUAUAUGUGCAGAACUUUGCCUGAUUUGUUCAAUAGUAGCAUUUCCUAUCGCACUCUGAAUAUUUAAAUUCCACUGGGCUAGUAACUUCCUCAACUCUUUAUCUGUUCAUCUUGAUUAAGGAAUUUGAACCUUUUGGUGUUGAAGGUGGAUACAGUGAUUCUCAGAAGAGUGCUCAUCUUGUACUGUUUGUACAUAAUAGACUGUUUAGGGGAGUUAUCCCGUAAUCUACAGCCUUAGCAUAGUGGAUCUUAGCAUCACGUGCUUGCUGUCUUUUUAUCUCUUGUCCUAGAUAUGUCUUGCUGCUUUACCGUCAUAGUUAUCAGAGUGGUUAGCGAUUCAUAUGACAAGAUGAUCUCAAUAUACUCGGGUCUUAUCUCUGAGAGGCUCAAAAUGAAUCUCUAAGAUUGACUUUCAGCUUUCUGAUCCAAAUGGAUACAUUACGGGAGACGAUGGUUCCUUCUGUGCUUUUUCAAUGUGCUCGCACGAGUGUCUUUAUCAUAUGCUAAAUAGAUAGACAGUUUCCUUGCAGUAAUGAGGAACCUAAGGGUGCUCUAAUUAUACGCGGGAAGUUUACAGCUCAAGGAUGAUCCAUCUUGGGGAAAAUCCAAAAGAUGGACUGCUAGGUAUAUGGGGCAAGUUAACUUUUCAAUGUGUCAACGCAUCGUAGAUUGCAAUUAUAAAAAGAAAAUUAAAAAAGACCCCACAUUAAUAUGACUUGACUAGCCAAAGAAAUAAGGUGUGUACUUAACAUUUGACUUAGGGGAGUCCUAUGGCUGUGAAUUUGAAAGAUAAAACCUUUCAAGCCGAUCAUUGGCUAAUUGGCCACUAAAAUCAAUUACUAUCGGGAGCGAGAAACUCCAUCGACUCUAUCAACUUCGAAUGUAAUCCACCUGCGUCAUCAAAGAAAACAUUACCCUCCCUUACGAUGCACCAACCUGACCUUUCUUUCGGAAGGUGAUUGUGCAUUAGAUCGACUUAUGAGAAUUGUAAAGAGCAGGAAUUAGUCUCGCGAUAGUGGUUGGCUGGCCCCAUAACUGCAAUGUUGCAGGGCUUUUCUUGGGGAAAACGAAAGCAUCAUGACCAAUUCCGAGAUCACCAAACAACGGGUUCCCAGAUUUAUGGAGCUGAGGUCAUCGUGAUUGGUACUACAUACAGACAACUCAACGUAGAUGCUCUAUGGAUUUGAGACUAGCUUCGUCCCUCUUCGACUCACCCAGAUAUCUAGAGCUGUUAUUCGCAAGUCGGGGCAAAUGCUUCGGUAAUGCUGUUUAUGUACUCGAGAGUAAACGACGGCAUCCGGGCACUCAAUACGUUUGCCGACAUCAUUCCUCAAUGCUUCAUGGAAGUUCCACACACAAAUGCUUUUUCUAAUUUGCAAGCCCGUGUUUUCCCUACGAAGACUUUACAGCCGAAUGAUAGAGGUCAGAACGGUCACUCUUCAAUUCAUCCCAUCUAUGCUUUUCGUGAACGUAAGUGAGAACUGAAUUGAACCCGCGCGUAUCUCACUGCAUAGAAGCAACCUACGAGUCUUCUGUUUUAGGACAGCACGUUACCCAAUUCGUGAACUCUCUCGAUCUCUUUCAGUGUCCAUAAAAAUAUUAAGUGUGGGUAACCAACAAAAACGUUCAAAUAAGAAAAAAUAGCAAUAUAAGGACAAGAGAGACUAACACGAAGUCAUGAAAUUGGCGAUCGAAAUAUGUAGGGGAAUGCUCACUAUACAUCGUCUGGCACAUAAUUUAUAUAUAUAAGAGCGAAAGAGGGAGGAAAGCAAAGUUCACUGAUGAUGCUCGACCCAAAAACAAAAAAAAAAGUUCACUGCUGCGGUCUUGUUGCUUUUCAAGGGGCUAUACUUGUUGCUUUUACAUAGGUGUCUUCAUCGAUACCCAAGAAGCUCAUAACUACAUCCUCCAGUGCCGCUCGGAAGCCCCCAUGUGGCGGCGCAGCGGCCCUGCACGAAAUCACCAUUACAACGUCCCAAGUUUGGAUCAUCGAGGCUGUGAUUAGCUCACGCAUCGAUUUCAACGAUAAUAACAGAAGAAACCGAGCGUUUUUAGGAGAACAAAGAUGACCAAACUGGAUUACCUGAAAACAUCGAAGUAUUCUCGAUUGGCCCCCAUGUCAAUUCCACAUAUCUGCGCACGCGCAAUGAGCAUUUCAAAAUUAUCGAUACGCUGAGCUCCUGAUAUGAUCCUCUUGCCUGAAAGAGUGUAAUACAAAUCAGAAGUUGGCAUAUCAAUAUGGGUUUAAUGCAAGAAUUGUUGGAUUCAUUUGGGCAACUCUCAAGCAUCCAUCGCACAAUACGCGUGAGAUUCACUGGGUGUAAAUGGCCUCAGGAUGCAACUUUAUGAGAGAGGCCAUGCAAAGGAGAAAGGAGAAGCCUCAGAAUACAUGGAAGUUCUAAACUACGUGGGAGUUAGCGAACACGUCUCUCGACAAGACUUCGCAGAAUAAAAGAAUCGAUGGGACACGCACUUGUCCUAAGAUUAAAAUCCUCUGCCAUCCGAUUCCCUCCCUAUGUUUCUUUUUGAACAAUUUGAACACAGAUUUAAAACGAUCCAAACCAACCGUAAACCCAAAUAUAAAACAUUACAGGGGCAUAUUUCCAGACCAUCAAGUAGAGAAAAUUUGCUGAAGGUAAAGAAUGGUCCAAAACUUCACCUCUAAUAUAAGCAUGGAAUGAAUUACUGUAGGCAGGAUCAUCAUAGCAUGGCAUGGUGUGGAAUGGCUUAUUAACCAAAGGAUGACGGUGAAGUAUAUAAAACUCGGUGCCAUACCUAAGAAUAAGAGAAAGCUUGGUAGGUUAAUCAUUGCGGAAAAUAAUUGAAUAACAAUCAAAAGCCUAACUCAGAACUUAAGGCACAUCAAAGAUUAUUUUAACUUAUUACUUUUCUCGAACCAGCUGACCCAAAUUCAUCUCUUCUUCCAUGUUCAAGUCUUCGAGAGGAUAAAUAUCGAUGCCAGCAUCCUGUACAAGCAUAGCAAUGUCAGAGAAGCACGGGAAAAUUUUAGCACAUAUGCAAGCAUGUAGGUUCACGGCCAAUGUAUUCAUUAACCAGCAUGCUCCGGGCUAGGGAAUAAGGGAGAGUUUGUGAAUGCUAAGACAUUUGGAAAGCUCGUUUAAAGAAGGGGAUUUGACCAAAGCUGCAUCCGAUCAAAGUAGUUGAGUGCAUAGUGAAUAGUAUUUUCCCGGUCCAUUUAAGAGAAACUUUUAUUUGGUGAAAACUGUACAACAAUGUUUGAUCAUUUCGAUUACCAAAAUGAUUAAUAACUUAAGAAUCAUCUCGAGGUUUGUUUUUAUCUUCAACGCAAUUCGGGUCCUUCAUCUAAAAAAACCGCCUAUAAAAACCAAAACCUCAGAGUAAAAGAACUAGAUAUUUCUCUUGCCGCUCCAAAUGGACUUCCAAACGGAAUGUUUGCCGGAGAAAAUAGGCUCAAGGUAUCGGGCCCCUUUAUAGACAUCAAGGACUAUAGAGUUGCAUAUGAUUGUGGGGAUGGACCCGCUGACAUCAAGGAAACGAGUGGUAGAUGAUACUAAGCUAUCCCAAUCUAUUUAACCAAGCCAGCAACAAAGGAAAAAUCCGUUUAAGAGCACUGGUGCUCCUAUUUUUAUAGCUACGACAUCAAUCUUGACGGUAUAUUUACAGCUCUCGUCCCAUGGAAUUGCUGCCCAAAUUACACACAUCCUUUUCUAUUCAUGUGUGCACAAGGGCAAGCGAACCUAUAUCUUGCCACUCUGUCCGUUCUCCUUUUAUAAUCUAGGCAAGGCAAUCAUAAGAGAUGCUGAAAAAUAUCUCCUCACCUUGAGCAUCUGAAUGCCUUCUUGAUGUGUAAGCAGCAAGGUCUUUCUCAAGUACUGCAAUUAAAAGUAACUACCCUUGGUUUUUUGGUAAAACAUUGCCUGUGUUUAUGUGUAUUAUUGCUUGACGUGGGGAUUCGAACCCCACCUCCCCUUUUCCAUGUAGGAUGGUUGGUCUGACUGUCGGAGAUUCACUCUUUCCGAAAGUGAAAUGCGAUAGGAAAGAACUGUUAUCGAGCACCGCGCCCCGUAUCAUGCUUGGUUGCCAAUGGUGCCCUUUCCAACCAUCUCUUCAAUAAUAAAAAAACCCUAGACACCUCUGCGCGCUCCGGCGAUCAAAGCGCCUCCUCCUCCCAUUCCUGCGAUCAGAGUGUAUUCUCACGCAAUUGCAAUCGAUUUCUCUCAUAAAAUGCCUCCCGUUCCCUCUUCCAAUUCCGGAACAUUCUUGCGCUGUCGAUGCCACCCAAUCCAUCGAUUCCUCCUUCAAACAACCCUAACCACCAUUGAGGCUCUGGUGGAGGAUGGGACCUAUGGGAAGCAUGGGGAUUUCCCGCUCUCGAAGUUACUGGCGAUGGAAGAGCUCAAUUUGGAUUACUCAAAAGUGGGUGCUCUUUCCCGAAGAUGUAGAGGGAGAUAGUCCUCGUGCGAGGGUGGAUGCAAGUGACUAGGUUGAUGGGAAAGAAAUUGGUGUUGAGGAAUACGGCUUUCUUGAUUCAACGCAUCGUCACGGCAAAGGCAGCAAAUGGGGCAUGUCGGUAAAGAGAUAAUGCAAUUUGUCUCCUCAUUGUCUCCAGAAUCCCUAGUUGUCAUAAAUGGCCUCUUCACUGUCCCUGCCAGGUCAGGAAUGCUUCCAACAGCACUAGAGAUUCGGGUUCGCAAAAUAUUUUGCAUCAACGGAAGGUUUCCAUCUAUCCCCUACAUUCUCAACGAG